Molecule: long non-coding RNA, 276 nt
Organism: Mauremys reevesii (Reeves's turtle)
Lineage: Eukaryota; Metazoa; Chordata; Testudines; Geoemydidae
Exons: 2
Source: RefSeq, a predicted model, not a curated record
AGAAAAAAUCCUUCGACCCCGCCCACAUCAAGGCGCUAGACUCCUAUUUUACCGUCCGCUGCGUCAUUAUGUAAUCCCGGAAGUGGCCUGGCUGAGGCAAGGGAAACAAGGCCCCGGCAGGCCCCACCAAGCUACCUUCUGGAAUCAGCCUCCCCGCGACUCUGCUGCGUGUAAAACAAAAACCCGCCAACUGCUGCCUUCAGAGGGCCUACUGCAACGGGCUUGUCAUCAGAGAGCGGCGCGAUCCAGCUUAGAAAUACAAUGCCAUGCACAGAA